UGUAAUUAUAUUCAUGUGUUAGCCACUGAUGUUACAUACGGAUUGGGAGAAUAAUUUACUUAAAAAAAAUGAAGCCAACCUGAAGCAAACCUCGAAGUCUAUUCUUCUCAAAACCCUCGAGCUUUUCUUUCUCCCUCGAACCCUAUUCUUCUCAAAACCCUCAAGCUUUUCUCUCUCGCUCGAACCCUAUUUGAUCUCUCUCUAGAGCUCUUGCGAUUUCACAUCUCUCUCGAGCCCUCUUCGCUCACGCUGUCCCUCUCUCGAGUCCUCUUUAUUUUCAUUGUCCCUCUCUCGAACCCUUGCUUCUUCCCCUCUCUCUCGAACUGUCGUCGCAUAACAACGUAGCAAUCUCGUUGUCCUUCAUUGACGAAGCAAUCACCUUCAUCGUUCGUUUUGGAGCCGUAGUUCGACGCUGAGAGAGUACCUUCAUUAACCCUAGGUUCGUGAUAAUAUUCCAGGAGUAGGAAGGAUUCGUAGAGGAGUGAAAAAUAGGAAAAUUGUUCGGUGAGAAAUACGAAUUAAGUCGUGUGUUCGGUGGAAAAGGAAGAUUCAACGGCUGAAUCAGUGAAACGUGGUAAAAUGAGAAUGUAAUCGCUGGAUUCGAUGGAGAAGGCUGUAGUGAUUUAUCAUAAAAUAUUCCGAAAUUUAUGUUCUUUCACUUCUCUUCGACAUUUAUGUAAAUGUUUUUGUGCAGGUUCAAGAAGUGUACGAAAUUUCAGCUGAGUAUGAAGGAAAGCGUGACCCUAAGAAACUGGAAGAACUUUGAAAUAUGAUAACUAUUUUGGAUGCAGGGGCUCUAUUAUUGUUGCCCAGUCCUUUUCCCACAUGCUUAACUUGGCCAACUUGGCCGAGGAGGUCCAGAUUUGUCGCCGCAGAAGGAACAAGGUGAAGAAAGGAGAUUUUGCAGAUGAGAACAAUGCAACUACAUAAUUAGCGGAAUUAACUACUUUUUGGUUUGCGCUGAAGAAUUUUUCAUUGCCCAGGCGGUAAUGCAGAUUAUGCUAUGGAUAUGCACCAGAAAGAACAACUUCAUGACAAUGUUGUACCAAUGAUGCAAUCGCAACAUUUCUCUAUGAUUUUGGUUUCAAAGUUAGAUCUUUGCAGGCACUCGGGUUUGUUUUAAUUGCUAGGCUAGAAUAUAUGUUGGAAAGUUAUGUUGGAAAAAUACUGGAGGAAACAUUAUUCUCUGCUGCUGAUACUUGCCUUAAGAUUCAAGGAUUACAAAACAUGUACGAGUAUCUUCUGGAUGCUGAAAGCCAAAUGGGAACUGAUAAAGAUGAUGAUAACGUUGUUGGUUACAUAGUAGGAGCUGGAAAGAGUGUACCUGUUGCUGUUGGUGCCGGUGAUACAAACAUAUGUGGGGGUAUAGUUCAGUUAUAUUGGGAUAAUAUUUUGGGCAGAUGUUUGGAUUUCAAUUAACAAGUUCGUCAAUCAGCCCUGAAGGUUUUUGGAAUGAAUUGAAAGAAAGGUUGAAGUACCAAGGGUUGCAG
This is a long non-coding RNA of Vigna radiata var. radiata (mung bean), 1490 nucleotides long. RefSeq lists it as uncharacterized. The record is from RefSeq and is a predicted model, not a curated record. The transcript is spliced from 7 exons. Lineage: Eukaryota; Viridiplantae; Streptophyta; Magnoliopsida; Fabales; Fabaceae.